RNAcentral lists this small RNA (29 nucleotides) under Bombyx mori (domestic silkworm). Its description in RNAcentral is "ovarian small RNA-8360". The record is from RNAcentral. Lineage: Eukaryota; Metazoa; Arthropoda; Insecta; Lepidoptera; Bombycidae.
UGAUGAUUCGGGAGCCCCAAGCGGCAUGU